This 520-nucleotide unclassified non-coding RNA is filed under the name uncultured Glomus. RNAcentral describes it as "SSU rRNA". It matches the Rfam family "Eukaryotic small subunit ribosomal RNA", at positions 569 to 1090 of the family's 1831-position model. Lineage: Eukaryota; Fungi; Glomeromycota; Glomeromycetes; Glomerales; Glomeraceae. The record is from RNAcentral.
AGCAGCCGCGGUAAUUCCAGCUCCAAUAGCGUAUAUUAAAGUUGUUGCAGUUAAAAAGCUCGUAGUUGAAUUUCGGGGUUAGUAGGUUGGUCAUGCCUCUGGUAUGUACUGGUCUCACUGAUUCCUCCUUCCUGAUGAACCUUAAUGCCAUUAAUUUGGUGUUUUGGGGAAUUUGGACUGUUACUUUGAAAAAAUUAGAGUGUUUAAAGCAAGCUAACGCUUGAAUACAUUAGCAUGGAAUAAUGAAAUAGGACGUUCAAUCCUAUUUUGUUGGUUUCUAGGAUUGACGUAAUGAUUAAUAGGGAUAGUUGGGGGCAUUAGUAUUCAAUUGUCAGAGGUGAAAUUCUUGGAUUUAUUGAAGACUAACUACUGCGAAAGCAUUUGCCAAGGAUGUUUUCAUUAAUCAAGAACGAAAGUUAGGGGAUCGAAGACGAUCAGAUACCGUCGUAGUCUUAACCAUAAACUAUGCCGACUAGGGAUCGGAUGAUGUUAAUUUUUUAAUGACUCAUUCGGCGCCUUA